AGUGAACGCUGGCGGUAGGCCUAACACAUGCAAGUCGAACGGCAGCACAGUAAGAGCUUGCUCUUACGGGUGGCGAGUGACGGACGGGUGAGGAAUACAUCGGAAUCUACUUUUUCGUGGGGGAUAACGUAGGGAAACUUACGCUAAUACCGCAUACGACCUACGGGUGAAAGCAGGGGAUCUUCGGACCUUGCGCGAUUGAAUGAGCCGAUGUCGGAUUAGCUAGUUGGCGGGGUAAAGGCCCACCAAGGCGACGAUCCGUAGCUGGUCUGAGAGGAUGAUCAGCCACACUGGAACUGAGACACGGUCCAGACUCCUACGGGAGGCAGCAGUGGGGAAUAUUGCACAAUGGGCGCAAGCCUGAUCCAGCCAUACCGCGUGGGUGAAGAAGGCCUUCGGGUUGUAAAGCCCUUUUGUUGGGAAAGAAAAGCAGCAGGUUAAUACCCCGCUGUUCUGACGGUACCCAAAGAAUAAGCACCGGCUAACUUCGUG
RNAcentral lists this ribosomal RNA (492 nucleotides) under uncultured bacterium. Its description in RNAcentral is "partial 16S ribosomal RNA". It matches the Rfam family "Bacterial small subunit ribosomal RNA", at positions 29 to 507 of the family's 1533-position model. The record is from RNAcentral.